RNAcentral lists this long non-coding RNA (3561 nucleotides) under Salmo salar (Atlantic salmon). Its description in RNAcentral is "lncRNA (ENSSSAG00000117871.1)". The record is from RNAcentral. Lineage: Eukaryota; Metazoa; Chordata; Actinopteri; Salmoniformes; Salmonidae.
UGAAAUAACUAAGGUUUAUUGAAUGCAAAAUUAUUUUUUAAGUAAAUACUGAAAAAAAUACUUCAGAGACCAAAAAAGUUAAAUGUUACUUCAGAGCACUCAUCCCUUUCCCAUAGCUAUGAAUCUGCUAUCACAGUUAAUUCUUCCAUCAACCUACAAAUACACACGAUUGUGAAAGUACGAUAUAUAAUAAUUGCUUGACAAGGCACAAUAGUUCAAAUGGCCAGGAGUUUUUCCUGACCAUAUGACUUGAACAGGAAAGAGGGGGUCAGUAACUAGAGCCUGGUGUUUGCUACUGGUGAGGUCACAUGGUCAGGAAAAUCUCUUUACCUAGACAUAAUGAAUGGAAUAAGGCAAUUCCACGCCAGCAUGGCCCAAUUUUUUUUUAGGGUAUCUCAGAUUUCUCUGGCAAUUCUCACAUACAAACUUAAUUGAGAGGAAGGAUGUUUAACAUGCUUGAUACAUUUGUAUCACAAACAAUUUUUGGGGAAAAUCAUGAUGAAUGUGGCCAUUUUAGGCUCUUUUAGACCAUAUAAUCCGUGAACCGUACAGACAUCUUGGUGUCAUUAUACUCCUUAUAGUAUGCUUUAAAAUAUGGAGUAUGGCUGUAUUCUAAAAAAAAAAAUGUAAAAAAAAAAAAAUCGCAUUAAUUUAUUCAAUAUUAAAAACAUUAUGAACAUCUCAAAAGUACCCUUUUUGAUUUUGAUUAUUUUUAGACAUCUUGUUUAGAACAAUAUACUCUUCAAACACAUAUUUCGAAGGUGGGCUCUGCUAAUUUUGAAGAAUACAUAGAAAUUGAUAUUGGUUAAGGAAGGACCUAUCAAAGUUCCAUUUGAAUCCAUUUUUCUAUUCACUGUGUUGAUGAUGCUCAUAAAAUUGUUUAUAACUAAAAGUAGCAGAGAGCCCACUUUAAUCAUUUUCCAAAAAAUGGUGUGUUACAAAUGUAAAAAGCCUAUCAAACAUCCAUCUUCCCAAUGACGUUUCUAUGUGAUAAUUGCCAGAACAAUCUGCGAUACAAAAUUAUUUUUGGGCUUUGCUCACAUGGAAUCACCCAAUAGCAGCUUUGUGGUUUCCUAUGCUGGUGGUAGUUAUAGUUAUGGCCGCAAACCACCUAGGUAUAUCACAAGAGUCAACAUAAAUGUCAAUACCCACAGGCUUAUAGGCAAUAUAAGUGGACAAUUCUCUUACAUCAGCAACUAUACAAGAGGAUAAUUAUCCUAAAUUAGAAACAAAGAACCUUCUCUACCAAAUUGUUACAGGACAGUUCCCUUUAGCCUGAAUAUGAAACCCCUUAGCUUGUUUUACACAGGCUGUAAGUGUACAAUUCCCUUAUAUUAAUAAGUCAUGGAUAUUGCAAUGUUUACACAAUAAAACUUGUGGAAAAGCUGGUAUUCCUCAGAUAUGUAAAUGUUUUAACUAUGGCUGUGAAGAUUCUCCGUCUGAAGGUUCUCCCAAGAUAAAUACAAUUUUUCUUACCACCGGCAAUAGACUAGGAGUCAGAUAUUAGAGAUGUUUCAAACAUCACAAAUGGCUUAAACUCCUCUUUCUGAUAUGAAAUCUUUUUUGUUAAUUAAGUGCAUGCGUACAUCAAAAUAGGUCCUAAUACAGUACUCUCUCCACUAAUGAUGAUAAUGAAGAUUAUGCUGUUCAAGAUCAGGUGGGGAUGAUGAGGAGAAAGUUAUCCAUCAAUUGUAUUUAUAAAGCCCUUUUUACAUCAGUAGAUGUUACAAAGUGCUAUACAGAAACACAGCCUAAAACCCCAAACAGCAAGCAAUGCAGGUGUAGAAGCACAGUGGCCAGGAAAAACUCCAUAGAAAGGCAGGAACCUAGGAAGAAACCUAGAGAGGAACCAGGCUCUGAGGGGUGGCCAGUCCUCUUCUGGCUGUGCCAGGUGGAGAUUAUAACAGUACAUGGCCAUUAAGGCCAGAUUGUUCUUCAAGAUGUUCAAACAUUCAUAGAUGACCAGCAGGGUCAAAUAAUAAUAAUCACAGUGGUUGUAGAGGGUGCAACAGGUCAGUACCUCAGGAGUAAAUGUCAGUUGGCUUUUCAUAGCUGAGCAUCCAUACCCUGCCUGUGUAAUGUGGAUUGCAUUAUGACGCCGGUCCAAGAUGGUGCUCAUUAGUGUUCAUCAUCAAUAUUUCUCCUUUUUAUCAAAGAAUCAUAUGUUAAGUAGGAUAUUAUUGCAACACUUCUGACUGUCUCAUAGUGGCAUAUCUUGGACAGCAUCACUUUAUCCACUGUUGAGCACAAUGACUUCCUGUCCUGUGCACAUGUGGGUGAGGGUUAUGUCAGAUCCUGUACGUCCAGGAGCAUGGCGUCCUGUUUGGUUCUCAGCUGGUCCCUUAUCAACAGGUGACCCACCAACUCUGAGCUCAGGUCUGCAAGAAUAGAAUAUUACUUUGCAUAAAAACAUAUAGAUCCUAAAACACAAAAACCGUAGAGCAAGCACUCACCUGCCAGUUCAUUUACUGACACAUUAUUACCAUGUAAUAACCACCCUUUUUCCAUGUAAUGACUACGAUUUCCAUGUUAUGACCAUGAUUUCCAUGUUUUUAUUUUUUUUAUUUAACCUUUUUUUAUUUAACCUUUAACUAGGCAAGUCAGUUAAAAAUAAAUUCUUAUUUACAAUGACGGCUUAGGAACAGUGGGUUAACUGCCUUGUUCAGGGGCAGAACGACAGAUUUUUACCUUUUCAGCUCAGGGAUUCGAUCUAGCAACCUUUCGGUUACUGGCCCAACGCUCUAACCACUAGGUUACCUGCCGCCCCAUGUAAAGACCAUGAUUACCAUGCAAUGACCGCCUACUGACCGUGUAUGUCGUGGUUGAGUGAGGUCCUGAGGGAGUUGAGCUGCUGUAUUGAGCAGGUCUGCAGGUCACAGUGUUCCAGAUGCGUCCUCUUAGUGAUCACACUACUGCAGGCAAGGUGCUGUGACACACAGGAAUUAUUUACACAUACCAAUCCUUACCUCUCUCCCACCACAUGCCCACUGUUUCCCCCUAUUUCUUCCAACCCUAUUUCUUUUCGCUCCACAGUCCACACUUCUCCAUUCUUCUCACCUCCUCUUUCUGUUCAGCUAACAGCUUGUUUUUGAGCGCGCUCAGUGCGGCCCUCACUUCCAACUUCAGGCCAGAGGGGUGGUAACCAUAGCUACCUGGUCCUAUAGAACCCUGACAAAGAGGAAACACAACAAAAGCAUGGCAUGGACGAGACGACCGUGACUCGACAUCUUCCGUAGUCCUCCUCAUCCUCCCAUUCAUCUUUCCUCCACAGCCCACCCUGCCUCUCUUCCGCCCAGCCCCCUGACACACUCCCCUGUUCCGACCCACUCGUACUCUGAAAGAGAGGAACAGAGGGAGGGAUCAGGGAUGGAGGGAUGACAUGGGAGGAGGGAAGAGUUCAGCGAUCCUCAGGCUCAGGUCUUCCCAGUGCAUGAUGGGUAGGUCCUGGUCGUCCUCGGAGGACUCUCCAUUCUGAUGAAGUCGCCCUGCCCCUUCCCCAGCAAACGGCUGUGUCUCAUCACUCUCCUUCUCCUCCGCUGUCUCUUUCUCCGUCUCUCCCUC